AUGACAGUCCUAGGAAAUAAAGUCCUCGAUUAUCCACAGAUGAGGUACAGUAUGGGCAGCAGCAGUGCAGACUGCGCCAUCUCAACUGUAAAAUUAACCUCUAGGGGUGAGAAGGCAAUUCAGUCUCAAUACCCAUUAAAUCCUUGACAUGU
RNAcentral lists this small RNA (152 nucleotides) under Sphenodon punctatus (tuatara). RNAcentral's name for it is "TUC338 (ENSSPUG00000009589.1)". The record is from RNAcentral. Lineage: Eukaryota; Metazoa; Chordata; Lepidosauria; Sphenodontia; Sphenodontidae.